This 1073-nucleotide long non-coding RNA is filed under the name Hordeum vulgare. Its description in RNAcentral is "long non-coding RNA (HVUL_LNC011349)". The record is from RNAcentral. Lineage: Eukaryota; Viridiplantae; Streptophyta; Magnoliopsida; Poales; Poaceae.
GGUCGACCACAGAUCCUUCUCUCACCUGCCUCAUACUUUCUACUAAUAUACAUGAUAACUUUGUUUUUAUUAUCAUCUUUUAUGGCAUGGUGGCAUCAUUAGCAACCUAAGUAGCCUGUCUUGUGCCGGAGGCAAAGAAAUUUUCGUUUUACUUUGUGUGUUGUUAUUAAAGCAUAUACAAGAUUAUUAUUGCUCUAUCUCUACAGUUUUGCUUGUCGGAUAUACCAUCUUAAAUACGAUUUUGGUCGUUCAUGAUCUAUUUUGUACCCAAUAGAGCGGAUCACGGUCAGCUGAUGGGCUUUACCUUUUUCUUUGGUGAUUAAGAAGCUCCAGAUUAAGCAUGCUCUUAUAUAUGGUCUACUUAGAUCGACAAGGACAGUGAUAAGUUAAGAAAAUUGUAAAUAUGACCGAUAAUUAGAGGUCCACUACAUAUAGAUUGCUCUUAUCUUAUGCCCUUGGUAGUCAUAUGUAAUUACAUUUAGUACAAGAGGUCUACAACAUAGAUCAGUCUAAUCUUAUGAUUUUGUGAUCGUAAUUUGGACGAAAGUGACUGAAAGUCACAAGUAAAUAAAUUGUGUUGUUUUGAGUUUACUCACUAGAUAGUGGAUCAUUUUAAGCUCAUUGGCUUUGCCCUUUCCUUUGCUGAUUAUGAUUACGAAGCUCUGGAUUAACCUGGAUUUUAUGUAUGACCUAUUUAGCACCAUGGACAAGGAUGGUAAAUGAUCAGUUAUGAGAAUAGUAAUUACAACUAGUAACUACAGGCACAAAACAUUAGAUCAAUUUAUCUUGCCUUCGUGGUUGCAAUUUGAAGGAAAUAACUUAAAAGCAACCCGCGAAUAAAUUUGCAUUGUUUUCAAUUUUCUUGCAAGAGAGGCCAAAUGUGGAACGGAAUAGUAGCAAUAUCAUUAACUGAAGGAAGUCCAUAUUUCAACCCUGGAUUGUCAUCAAACCUAAAGAAACAUCCCAGUAAAAUGGUUGAUAAGAGGAGGGUUGAUACUUGUCUGAUUUCCAAAGUUUGGGGCUCUAAAUUAGAUGGUUUGAAGGUCGGGGUCGUUUCUUUGACUUUGGUGACA